CCCUAGCCCCGAUAGUAGUGGAAAUCCUUUUGUGUCCGCCGCCGCGGACGCAAAAGAUUGGAACGCAUAGCGGGAAACAGC
Molecule: small RNA, 81 nt
Filed under: Flavobacterium araucananum
Lineage: Bacteria; Pseudomonadati; Bacteroidota; Flavobacteriia; Flavobacteriales; Flavobacteriaceae
Description: Flavo-1 RNA
Rfam family: Flavo-1 RNA
Source: RNAcentral